GACGAACGCUGGCGGCGUGCCUAACACAUGCAAGUCGAGCGAUGAAGCUCCUUCGGGAGUGGAAUAGCGGCGGACGGGUGAGUAACACAUGGGUAACCUGCCUCAUAGAGGGGAAUAGCCUUCCGAAAGGGAGAUUAAUACCGCAUAACAUAACUUUAUCGCAUGGUAGAGUUAUCAAAGGAGUAAUCCGCUAUGAGAUGGACCCGCGGCGCAUUAGCUAGUUGGUGAGGUAACGGCUCACCAAGGCGACGAUGCGUAGCCGACCUGAGAGGGUGAUCGGCCACGUUGGAACUGAGACACGGUCCAGACUCCUACGGGAGGCAGCAGUGGGGAAUAUUGCGCAAUGGGGGAAACCCUGACGCAGCAACGCCGCGUGAGUGAAGAAGGCCUUAGGGUUGUAAAGCUCUGUCAUAUGGGAAGAUAAUGACGGUACCAUAAGAGGAAGCCACGGCUAACUACGUGCCAGCAGCCGCAGUAA
Molecule: ribosomal RNA, 478 nt
Filed under: uncultured bacterium
Lineage: Bacteria
Description: partial 16S ribosomal RNA
Rfam family: Bacterial small subunit ribosomal RNA
Source: RNAcentral